GAAAUGCUCGAUCUUUUCACGUCAAGCAGCAGCCAUGGGCACACAUCGAUUCACAUCGCUCCGCGUUUCUCACGUCUUUUAUCCGUCGAAAGUGCGUCUUACGAGUUAAUAAGUCUCGGAAGUGUCGAGAAUAGCGAUGUGCGAUCGUCGGGGCGUAUCAUUUGUGGUGACCUUCCGAGCAGAGCCCGCUGGAGCGAACACAGGCAUGAACCUUAAGCUGGGAGGCGUGUUGGCUCUGAACGAGGCGUUACGAACCAAACUCGAGAAGUCUCGUCUCUCUCGGACGCUCCAGGUGUGAGAACCGCUGAUGCCGAGAUUGCCGCGACACAUGCUGGAAAUUUGUUCGGCGGGAAUUUACGAGCGAGUUUCCGUGUCAGACCCAAUACC
Long non-coding RNA from Odontomachus brunneus, 387 nucleotides. RefSeq lists it as uncharacterized. The record is from RefSeq and is a predicted model, not a curated record. The transcript has 3 exons. Lineage: Eukaryota; Metazoa; Arthropoda; Insecta; Hymenoptera; Formicidae.